GCCUAACACAUGCAAGUCGAACGAGAAAGUGGAGCUUGCUUCACGAGUACAGUGGCAAACGGGUGAGUAACACGUGAACAAUCUACCCUCGAGUGGGGAAUAACACCGCGAAAGCGGUGCUAAUACCGCAUAACAUCUCCGGGUCGCAUGGCCUGGAGAUCAAAAGCGCAAGUUGCUUGAGGAGGAGUUCGCGCCUGAUUAGCUUGUUGGUGAGGUAACGGCUCACCAAGGCUCCGAUCAGUAGCCGGCCUGAGAGGGCGAACGGCCACACUGGAACUGAGACACGGUCCAGACUCCUACGGGAGGCAGCCAGUAGGGGAAUUUUGCGCAAUGGGCGAAAGCCUGACGCAGCAACGCCGCGUGGAGGAUGAAGGCCCUCGGGUCGUAAACUCCU
RNAcentral lists this ribosomal RNA (394 nucleotides) under uncultured bacterium. RNAcentral describes it as "bacterial SSU rRNA". It matches the Rfam family "Bacterial small subunit ribosomal RNA", at positions 46 to 434 of the family's 1533-position model. The record is from RNAcentral.